Molecule: ribosomal RNA, 418 nt
Filed under: uncultured Paraprevotella sp.
Lineage: Bacteria; Pseudomonadati; Bacteroidota; Bacteroidia; Bacteroidales; Prevotellaceae
Description: bacterial SSU rRNA
Rfam family: Bacterial small subunit ribosomal RNA
Source: RNAcentral
GGAAUAUUGGUCAAUGGGCGGAAGCCUGAACCAGCCAAGUAGCGUGAAGGAAGACUGCCCUAUGGGUUGUAAACUUCUUUUAUCCGGGAAUAAAGUGCGCCACGCGUGGCGUUUUGUAUGUACCGGAUGAAUAAGCAUCGGCUAAUUCCGUGCCAGCAGCCGCGGUAAUACGGAAGAUGCGAGCGUUAUCCGGAUUUAUUGGGUUUAAAGGGAGCGUAGGCGGGCUGUUAAGUCUGCGGUCAAAUGUCGGCGCCCAACGCCGUCAUGCCGUGGAAACUGGCGGUCUUGAAUGUGCACAAGGAAGGUGGAAUUCGUGGUGUAGCGGUGAAAUGCUUAGAUAUCACGAAGAACUCCGAUUGCGAAGGCAUCCUUCUGGGGCAUGAUUGACGCUGAGGCUCGAAAGCGCGGGUAUCAAACA